UACGUAGGGUGCAAGCGUUAAUCGGAAUUACUGGGCGUAAAGCGUGCGCAGGCGGUUGUGCAAGACAGAUGUGAAAUCCCCGGGCUUAACCUGGGAACUGCAUUUGUGACUGCAGAGCUAGAGUGUGUCAGAGGGAGGUGGAAUUCCGCGUGUAGCAGUGAAAUGCGUAGAGAUGCGGAGGAACACCGAUGGCGAAGGCAGCCUCCUGGGAUAACACUGACGCUCAGGCACGAAAGCGUGGGGAGCAAACAGU
This 253-nucleotide ribosomal RNA is filed under the name uncultured bacterium. RNAcentral describes it as "partial 16S ribosomal RNA". It matches the Rfam family "Bacterial small subunit ribosomal RNA", at positions 524 to 776 of the family's 1533-position model. The record is from RNAcentral.